GUGGGGUGCUCGAGUCAGAGAGCGACCCCGAGACAAAGACCGAUACUGUAUCAGAUACUGCUACGGGCUGAAUCUGAAAGGACUCCGAGGAGCAAGUUCUGUCUGUGAGCCUUUUCCUGCUGAAGGGACAGAAGCUGGCUCUAUACAUAGGCCCCCUCCCUCAAGCUGGGGCAUUGGUGAGGUUUUCCUGUGGCUAGAGAAAGCCACAGCUACCUUGCCCGAAACCGGAACUCAAUUUCCUGAUGCUGUGUCUGUGGGCACAAAGGAGGAGAGGGACCAGCAAGGCUGAGGGUUCCGAGUGGAACAAAGACCCCGAUUCUUCCCCUGCUUUGGUGUGACAAAUCAGGUGGGACCAUGGAGGGUAUCAGUGCUGCCUCUGAUAGCUCAGGGUAAAAGAUAUUAAAAUACAUUAAUGACUAAA
Molecule: long non-coding RNA, 421 nt
Organism: Neofelis nebulosa (Clouded leopard)
Lineage: Eukaryota; Metazoa; Chordata; Mammalia; Carnivora; Felidae
Exons: 2
Source: RefSeq, a predicted model, not a curated record